RNAcentral lists this ribosomal RNA (254 nucleotides) under uncultured bacterium. RNAcentral describes it as "partial 16S ribosomal RNA". It matches the Rfam family "Bacterial small subunit ribosomal RNA", at positions 524 to 776 of the family's 1533-position model. The record is from RNAcentral.
UACGUAGGCAGCGAGCGUUGUUCGGAGUUACUGGGCGUAAAGGGUGUGUAGGCGGUUGUUUAAGUUUGGUGUGAAAUCUCCCGGCUCAACUGGGAGGGUGCGCCGAAUACUGAAUGACUUGGAGUGCGGGAGAGGAAAGUGGAAUUCCUGGUGUAGCGGUGAAAUGCGUAGAGAUCCGGAGGAACCCAGAGGCGAAGGCGGCGCCCUGGCUCGCAACUGACGCUCAGACACGACAGGCAUGGGGAGCGAACGGG